GUGACUGCGUACCUUUUGUAUAAUGGGUCAGCGACUUAUAUUCUGUAGCAAGGUUAACCGAAUAGGGGAGCCGGAGGGAAACCGAGUCUUAAUUGGGCGUUAAGUUGCAGGGUAUAGACCCGAAACCCGGUGAUCUAGCCAUGGGCAGGUUGAAGGUUGGGUAACACUAACUGGAGGACCGAACCGACUAAUGUUGAAAAAUUAGCGGAUGACCUGUGGCUGGGGGUGAAAGGCCAAUCAAACCGGGAGAUAGCUGGUUCUCCCCGAAAGCUAUUUAGGUAGCGCCUCGUGAAUUCAUCUCCGGGGGUAGAGCACUGUUUCGGCUAGGGGGCCAUCCCGGCUUACCAACCCGAUGCAAACUGCGAAUACCGGAGAAUGUUAUCACGGGAGACACACGGCGGGUGCUAACGUCCGUCGUGAAGAGGGAAACAACCCAGACCGCCAGCUAAGGUCCCAAAGUCAUGGUUAAGUGGGAAACGAUGUGGGAAGGCCCAGACAGCCAGGAUGUUGGCUUAGAAGCAGCCAUCAUUUAAAGAAAGCGUAAUAGCUCACUGGUCGAGUCGGCCUGCGCGGAAGAUGUAACGGGGCUAAACCAUGCACCGAAGCUGCGGCAGCGAACGUAUCACCCAAGACAACUUUACGGAGUUGACGAUUGACGGAGCGAAGCGACGUCAAAGCGUUCAUUAAAGUCGAGUUGGCUUAGGGAUACGUUCGUUGGGUAGGGGAGCGUUCUGUAAGCCUGUGAAGGUGUGUCGUGAGGCAUGCUGGAGGUAUCAGAAGUGCGAAUGCUGACAUAAGUAACGAUAAAGCGGGUGAAAAGCCCGCUCGCCGGAAGACCAAGGGUUCCUGUCCAACGUUAAUCGGGGCAGGGUGAGUCGACCCCUAAGGCGAGGCCGAAAGGCGUAGUCGAUGGGAAACGGGUUAAUAUUCCCGUACUUGGUGUUACUGCGAAGGGGGGACGGAGAAGGCUAUGUUGGCCGGGCGACGGUUGUCCCGGUUUAAGCGUGUAGGUGUGUGUUCCAGGUAAAUCCGGUUCACUUUAACACUGAGGCGUGACGACGAGGCACUACGGUGCUGAAGCAACAAAUGCCCUGCUUCCAGGAAAAGCCUCUAAGCAUCAGGUAACAUCAAAUCGUACCCCAAACCGACACAGGUGGUCAGGUAGAGAAUACCAAGGCGCUUGAGAGAACUCGGGUGAAGGAACUAGGCAAAAUGGUGCCGUAACUUCGGGAGAAGGCACGCUGACACGUAGGUGAAGUGAUUUACUCAUGGAGCUGAAGUCAGUCGAAGAUACCAGCUGGCUGCAACUGUUUAUUAAAAACACAGCACUGUGCAAACACGAAAGUGGACGUAUACGGUGUGACGCCUGCCCGGUGCCGGAAGGUUAAUUGAUGGGGUCAGCGCAAGCGAAGCUCCUGAUCGAAGCCCCGGUAAACGGCGGCCGUAACUAUAACGGUCCUAAGGUAGCGAAAUUCCUUGUCGGGUAAGUUCCGACCUGCACGAAUGGCGUAAUGAUGGCCAGGCUGUCUCCACCCGAGACUCAGUGAAAUUGAACUCGCUGUGAAGAUGCAGUGUACCCGCGGCAAGACGGAAAGACCCCGUGAACCUUUACUAUAGCUUGACACUGAACAUUGAGCCUUGAUGUGUAGGAUAGGUGGGAGGCUUUGAAGUGUGGACGCCAGUCUGCAUGGAGCCGACCUUGAAAUACCACCCUUUAAUGUUUGAUGUUCUAACGUGGACCCGUAAUCCGGGUUGCGGACAGUGUCUGGUGGGUAGUUUGACUGGGGCGGUCUCCUCCUAAAGAGUAACGGAGGAGCACGAAGGUUGGCUAAUCCUGGUCGGACAUCAGGAGGUUAGUGCAAUGGCAUAAGCCAGCUUGACUGCGAGCGUGACGGCGCGAGCAGGUGCGAAAG
RNAcentral lists this ribosomal RNA (1913 nucleotides) under Salmonella enterica. RNAcentral's name for it is "partial 23S ribosomal RNA". It matches the Rfam family "Bacterial large subunit ribosomal RNA", at positions 593 to 2405 of the family's 2925-position model. Lineage: Bacteria; Pseudomonadati; Pseudomonadota; Gammaproteobacteria; Enterobacterales; Enterobacteriaceae. The record is from RNAcentral.